RNAcentral lists this small nucleolar RNA (84 nucleotides) under Myotis brandtii (Brandt's bat). RNAcentral describes it as "Small nucleolar RNA SNORD70". It matches the Rfam family "Small nucleolar RNA SNORD70". From Rfam's summary of the family: snoRNA HBII-234 belongs to the C/D family of snoRNAs. It is the human orthologue of the mouse MBII-234 and is predicted to guide 2'O-ribose methylation of the small 18S rRNA on position A512. The record is from Rfam by way of RNAcentral. Lineage: Eukaryota; Metazoa; Chordata; Mammalia; Chiroptera; Vespertilionidae.
UCCAUGUCAAUGAUGUAUUCUUGUGGAACUGAAUCUAAGUGAUCUCACUCAAAUAUGCGUCACUACCACUGAGACAGCAAUGGA